AAUGUCAUCGGAUACUAUCUGGCUCGAGGAUCGGAGGGGAGACUGGAAUUCUCGGUGUAGCAGUGAAAUGCGUAGAUAUCGAGAGGAACACCAGUGGCGAAGGCGAGUCUCUGGACGAUUCCUGACACUGAGGCACGAAAGCUAGGGGAGCAAACAGGAUUAGAUACCCUGGUAGUCCUAGCUGUAAACGGUGCACGUUUGCUGUGAGCGGAUUCGACCCCGCUCGUGGCGAAGCUAACGCGUUAAACGUGCCGCCUGGGGAGUAUGGUCGCAAGAUUAAAACUCAAAGAAAUUGACGGGGGCCUGCACAAGCGGUGGAGUAUGUGGCUUAAUUCGAUGCAACGCGAAGAACCUUACCUGGCCUUGACAUGCAGGUUGUAGAAGCCUGAAAGGGUAACGACCCCGCAAGGGGAGCUUGCACAGGUGCUGCAUGGCUGUCGUCAGCUCGUGUCGUGAGAUGUUGGGUUAAGUCCCGCAACGAGCGCAACCCUUGUGUCCUGUUGCCACUCCUGCGAGAGUAGGAAGCACUCUGGACAGACUGCCUCGCUUAAACGAGGAGGAAGGUGGGGAUGACGUCAAGUCAGGAUGGCCCUUACGGCCAGGGCUGCACACGUACUACAAUGCCCGGUACAAUGGGAAGCAAAAUCGUAAGGUGGAGCAAAUCCCAAAAAGUCGGGCUCAGUUCAGAUUGUAGGCUGCAACUCGCCUACAUGAAGCUGGAAUCG
This 725-nucleotide ribosomal RNA is filed under the name uncultured Verrucomicrobiota bacterium. RNAcentral describes it as "bacterial SSU rRNA". It matches the Rfam family "Bacterial small subunit ribosomal RNA", at positions 619 to 1334 of the family's 1533-position model. Lineage: Bacteria; Pseudomonadati; Verrucomicrobiota. The record is from RNAcentral.